GGGGGUAUGGCUAAGUAGAACACCUGCUUGACAAGCACAAGACCUUGAGUUCAAACCCCAGUACCACCA
Molecule: transfer RNA, 69 nt
Filed under: Dipodomys ordii (Ord's kangaroo rat)
Lineage: Eukaryota; Metazoa; Chordata; Mammalia; Rodentia; Heteromyidae
Rfam family: tRNA
About the family: Transfer RNA (tRNA) molecules are approximately 80 nucleotides in length. Their secondary structure includes four short double-helical elements and three loops (D, anti-codon, and T loops).
Source: Rfam by way of RNAcentral